This is a long non-coding RNA of Oncorhynchus tshawytscha (Chinook salmon), 2383 nucleotides long. The record is from Ensembl. NCBI's taxonomy places the organism in Eukaryota, Metazoa, Chordata, Actinopteri, Salmoniformes, Salmonidae.
UUCAAAUGUGAGAGACGGAAUCUAAAACAAAAAUCCAGAAAAUCACAUUGUAUGAUUUUUAAGUAAUUAAUUUGCAUUUGGUACAGAAACCUUUGUUUGCAAUUACAGAGAUCAUACGUUUCCUGUAGUUCUUGACCAGGUUUGCACACACUGCAGCAGGGAUUGGCAACGCCGUUUUGCAGAUACCCAGCUGGGGCCUGCCCGCUGACACAGGUGGUUUGCUUUGGCCUCCUGGCCCCUGCUCCCCCAUCUUCCAGUAAUCCGACCAGAUCCCAACAUCAUGCCACAGCCAACCCCAUCUCAUGUCCCGCCUGGAGAACCUCCUGGAGAGGGUACGCUGCUCCACGGCUGCAGCCCAGAACCACUGAAAAGAGAAAGAGGGCCCGUCCCUCCAGAAGGUCCCCUGGGAUGAGAUGCCAUUAUGGAGGAUGGAGAGGUCCUGGUCUACUUCCCCAAGGAGGGACUGAAGAACUUCCAGCCCCCUGCAGAGUGGACAGAGGAGGUCAGACUCACACACCAGGAGAAGCAGCAGGAGACGCAGGGAGCCAGUCCAGGAAGACUUGCAGCUCUCUCUCGGCCGGAUCCCCCCACACCCUGCCCCACCUUCGACUUCACACACACCCCCUCGCCCCAGAAGGUCCUCCACAGUCUUCAGGAUGAGAGGGCCCACAGCCAGGGGUGGGAGGAGCAGCUGCAGCGCUGGCUAGAAGUGGCUAACUCUCCAUGACUAACUGCAUGUCCCCCAACGGUACUGCUGCUGCACAGAACAGCAAUUACUCACCACGCACUGGAAGAAGCUUUUUCCUUUAACGAGUCCGAUGAGAAGGAUACACUGCUUUCCCGGGAACAGGCCCAAAACCCUGUCAUUUGAGGGGGCGGCAGGUAGAGCGUUGGACCAGUAACCGAAAGGUUGCUAGAUUGAAUCCCUGAGCUGACAAGGAAGUACCAGUGACUCGCUCAAUACGGAAGUGGUCAGAUGACGCAGAUGCUAUGCUACAGGACUGUUUUGCUAGCACAGACUGGAAUAUGUUCCGGGAUUCAUCCGAUGACAUCGAGGAGUACACCACCUUAGUCAUCGGCUUCAUCAAUAAGUACAUCGACGACGUCAUCCCCACAGUGACCGUACGUUCAUAUCCCAACCAGCAGCCAUGGAUUACAGGCAACAUCCGCAUUGACCUAAAGGCUAGAGCUGCCGCUUUCAAGGAGGGAGACACUAAUCCGGACUCUUAUAAGAAAUCCUGCUAUGCCCCCAGACGAACAAUCAAACAAGCAAAGCGUCAAUACGGGACUAAGAUUGAAUCCUACUACACUGGCCCUGAUGCUCGUCCGAUGUGGCAGGGCUUGAAAACUAUUACGGACUACAAAGGGAAACCCAGAUGCGAGCUGCCCAGUGACGCGAGCCUACCUACCAGACGAACUAAAUGCCUUUUUAAGCUCGCUUCGAGGCAAGCAACACUGAAGCAUCCACGAGAGUACCAGCUGUUCUGGAUGACUAUGUAAUAACGCUCUCGGUAGCCGAUGUGAGCAAGACCUAAAGGUCAACAUUCACAAAGCCGCAGGGCCAGACGGAUUACCAGGACGUCUACUCAAAGCAUGCGUGGACCAACUGGCAGGUGUCUUCACUGACAUUUUCAACCUCUCCCUGACCAAGUCUGUAAUACCUACAUGUUUCAAGCAGACCACCAUAGUCCCUGUGCCCAAGGAAGCGUCGGUACCUACUCACGUAGGUAGGCAUUACGUGCUUUGAAAAUGCAGGGGACCAGUGGAUCACAGCUAUGGGACACAGCUUUUGCAGUACAGGCCUUUCUAGAGGCAGGGGAUCAGGACAGCUCAGUUUAGAAGAGUGCCUUAAACACGCCCACAAGUUCCUAACCAUCACACAGCCAGGUCCUGGGGAGUGUGCUUCACCUGUGGGGUUUGGUUCGGCUUGGAGGCCUUGGCCUGCAUGGGUCAUAGCUACCACAAUGGAGGGCCUGUGACUUCCUGAUGGCCCUCCAGAUGAAGGACAGGGGGCUGGGGGUGAGGACUUUGAGUCCUGUGAGCAACGUCGCUAUGUCCAGAGCGCUAACUCCCAGAGCAGGCCAACACCUGCUUGGCCUCAUGGCUGCCAGGUAACUGCCUAUGUAACUGCCUUGUAACAACCUAUGUUACUGCCUUGUAACUACCUAUGUGACUGCCUUGUGACUACCUAUGUGACUGCAUUGUAACUACCUAUGUGACUGCAUUGUUACCACCUUGUAACUACCUAUGUGACUCCAACUAAACUUCCUGUAGACGGGUUGGAUGUUUAGCAACAAAACCUAACGCUUGCUUAACUAUGGGGCAAAAGAUUUUAGAUUGAUUUAGGUUGAUUUAGAUUGUGAACAACAUGUAUACAAAAUUG